GACGGAGGGUGCUAGCGUUGUUCGGAAUUACUGGGCGUAAAGGGCGCGUAGGCGGCCUGGCAAGUCGGAUGUGAAAGCCCGGGGCUCAACCUCGGAACGGCAUUCGAAACUGCUGGGCUGGAGAACGGAAGAGGAGAGUGGAAUACCCAGUGUAGAGGUGAAAUUCGUAGAUAUUGGGUGGAACACCGGUGGCGAAAGUGGCUCUCUGGUCCGGUUCUGACGCUGAGGCGCGAAAGCGUGGGGAGCAAACAGG
This 253-nucleotide ribosomal RNA is filed under the name uncultured bacterium. RNAcentral's name for it is "partial 16S ribosomal RNA". It matches the Rfam family "Bacterial small subunit ribosomal RNA", at positions 524 to 776 of the family's 1533-position model. The record is from RNAcentral.